GGGUGUGGGGGGUGAGGAGAUUUCAGUACUCUUUUAGUUGAGGAAGCUUACACUUACCUUUUGAAAUUUGAAGUCUAAACAUACCAUAAAUACACGGAUUGGCCUAAAGUUUGUGCAUGUUCGUAAUGGAAUUUGUGAAAGGAAAAGCACCAUUUAGUGAGUUGGGGUUUCAAUUUGUGAAUAAGAACUAUUUGAGAAGAUUAUAAUUUUGUUUGAUAGUGGAUUUUAUGAGGUGGGUAAGUCGCCAAUCCACAUUAAAUUUCACAUUUUUGUUAAUGCGUUUUGCAUUUUAACUAAAACAUAAUAUGUAAAAGUACUACACAUUGAAAAUAUGCAUUAAAAUCUUCCUGUUAACUCUGACCAGUGCAACCAAGAAAGAGCUGUUAUUUGACUCUGAUAGCUGCAUGUCCUUGCAACCCUGACUUCAUGAUUUAUAUAUAACUGAAAUUCCAUGGUCAGACAAUUUUCUACGUGUCAAAAUCUUCAGAAGAGGAACUCAAAAAGUAUUCUUCAUUGAUAUUUAGUAAAAGCACAGCCUGCUGUCUUUUAUUAUUCUUCAACAACCCUUUUUGCUGAAUCCUAUAGGACUUUCUACACCAUUUCAGUAGUCAUACCCAAUGAUUAUAUUUUAAACCAAUGUUAUAUCCCCCUCUAAUACAUGCAUAAGGGCAAAAAUCUAUGCUCGUUGUCCAUUUGAAAAGCAUUCCUCUAAAGUCUAAAUUCACUUUCAGCAAGGGCUUUAUGCAUAAUUCCUGACUCCUGAGGGCAUUAUUUGUAGGUUCUAAGAGCUCUUCUUUUUGAGGGCUGUUUGUUGCUCUCCUUGUCUGAGUUACUAUAGUGGAACUGGACUCGGGCAUUAUUUGUUGGUUCUAAGAGCUCUUCUGUUUGAGGGCUGUUUGUUGCUCUCCUUGUCUGAGUUACUAUAGUGGAACUGGACUCGGGCAUUAUUUGUUGGUUCUAAGAGCUCUUCUG
Molecule: unclassified non-coding RNA, 972 nt
Filed under: Hevea brasiliensis (rubber tree)
Lineage: Eukaryota; Viridiplantae; Streptophyta; Magnoliopsida; Malpighiales; Euphorbiaceae
Source: RNAcentral